UUUCGGUAGUUUACUACCGUUUGAAGGGGGUGGAAACCUUGAAAGAGGGAGUACAUUCUGUUCUUAACCCUUGGCUUUUUGCGUACUCAUGUUCCCUCGGUAGGCUUGCCUGCCGAUUGGACAAUCAAACCCCUUGCGUUAUACAUGAAAAUUUCUGAUACCAACCAAAAUUAUUACAACUUUUAACAAUGGAUCUCUUGGUUCU
This 205-nucleotide unclassified non-coding RNA is filed under the name rhizosphere metagenome. RNAcentral describes it as "partial ribosomal RNA internal transcribed spacer region". The record is from RNAcentral.